RNAcentral lists this ribosomal RNA (253 nucleotides) under uncultured bacterium. RNAcentral's name for it is "partial 16S ribosomal RNA". It matches the Rfam family "Bacterial small subunit ribosomal RNA", at positions 524 to 776 of the family's 1533-position model. The record is from RNAcentral.
UACGAAGGGGGCGAGCGUUGUUCGGAAUUACUGGGCGUAAAGGGCGCGCAGGCGGCCCUUGAAGUCAGGCGUGAAAGCCCCGGGCUCAACCUGGGAGGUGCGCUUGAUACUCGAGGGCUUGAGUGCGGGAGAGGUGAGUGGAAUUCCCAGUGUAGCGGUGAAAUGCGUAGAUAUUGGGAGGAACACCAGUGGCGAAGGCGGCUCACUGGACCGGUACUGACGCUGAGGCGCGAAAGCGUGGGGAGCAAACGGG